AAACAAAGAUGGCAACACACAACUACCAUCCGCCAGGAAAUUACGAGCACAUUAUAUUUUUAUGCUUGAAACCCAAGGGACUUGACGGUGCCUUAGACCUACCUAGAGGAGCCUGUCCCACAACCGAUAACCCCCGUUAAACCUAACCACCCCUUGCCACAUCAGUCUAUAUACCGCCGUCGCCAGCUUACCUUGUGAAAGUAGAAUAGUAAGCUAAAUGAGAUUUUUAACCCAGAACGUCAGGUCGAGGUGUAACACACGAGGUGGAGAAAGAUGGGCUACAUUUUCUGAAGCAGAACAACACGAAAGAUGUUAUGAAAAACACAACAAAAGGUGGAUUUAGCAGUAAUAAGAUGAAAAAGAGUGCU
Molecule: ribosomal RNA, 368 nt
Filed under: Ariosoma cf. major WJC546
Lineage: Eukaryota; Metazoa; Chordata; Actinopteri; Anguilliformes; Congridae
Description: partial 12S ribosomal RNA
Source: RNAcentral